GUGAAUCAUCGAAUCUUUGAACGCAACUUGCGCUCCUUGGUCCAAUCGAGGAGUAUGCCUGUUUGAGUGCCGUGUAUCUCUCAACCCCACAAGGUUGGACUUGAGGCGUGUGGUUGGACCUGAGGUCCAUCGCUCCCUUUAAAUGCAUGACCAGCUUUUGAGACGUGAUAGUUCACCGUCGACGAGCAGCGGUCACGAGCUUUCCCCCACCCGGGAUCGCCCAACACACACUUUUUGUUUGACUGGCCUCAAAUCAGGUAGGAUUACCCGCUGAACUUAAGCAUAUCAAUAAGCGGAGGA
This 300-nucleotide unclassified non-coding RNA is filed under the name Russula sp. RNAcentral describes it as "partial contains 5.8S ribosomal RNA, internal transcribed spacer 2, and large subunit ribosomal RNA". The stretch from base 244 to 300 matches the Rfam family "Eukaryotic large subunit ribosomal RNA", at positions 1 to 57 of the family's 3401-position model. Lineage: Eukaryota; Fungi; Basidiomycota; Agaricomycetes; Russulales; Russulaceae. The record is from RNAcentral.